RNAcentral lists this transfer RNA (72 nucleotides) under Chelonia mydas (Green sea turtle). It matches the Rfam family "tRNA". Rfam says of the family: Transfer RNA (tRNA) molecules are approximately 80 nucleotides in length. Lineage: Eukaryota; Metazoa; Chordata; Testudines; Cheloniidae. The record is from Rfam by way of RNAcentral.
GGCAGGGUAGCCUAACAGAUAGAGCACUGGACUGGGACUCAGGAGAUGUGGGUUCUAGUUCCAGCUCUGCUC